Non-coding RNA from Microcebus murinus (gray mouse lemur), 1000 nucleotides. NCBI's taxonomy places the organism in Eukaryota, Metazoa, Chordata, Mammalia, Primates, Cheirogaleidae. The record is from RefSeq and is a predicted model, not a curated record.
AGGCCGGUUUCCGGCGAGCGCCCGCCAGCGGCCGCAGUUCAAGUGGCUCUCGGUUUUCCACUCCUAGCUACACCGGCUGUUGCCCACCGCCCUCUCUGCGCUUAUCCCGCUGCUGCUCCCAGACGCGAGGGAUACGGGAGUCAUCUUUCACCAGUGACCUGAAUCUUGUUUUCAGUCAGCGCAAGGCAGUGUCUCAGGUUAUAGGAACCAGAAGUCAAGGAAUGAAGGAAGAGGUCUCAGAACCAGUCUUAAGAAUCAAGUUCACCUUCUGGCAGUUUAAGAUCCUCACGAACUUCACCAGUUUCUGUCAGCAGGGAAAGAGAUGCAUAAUAAAAUAUUUGGAGAUAAAAUGAUAUGAUGUCUGGAAUUAGCAUCUGAAAGUGGACUAAUAGCCAGAAUAUACAAGGAACUCAACAACAAAAAACAAAUAAUUCCAUUAAAAAUUGUGCAAAGGAUACAAAUAGACAUUUUUCAAAAGAGGAUACAUAGAAAUCAACAUAACAAAAAGAUAACCUGCAUUCGUAUGUUGAUUGCAGCAUUAUUCACAAGAGCAAAGCUUCUUUUUGUAGCCUCCCCACUCCUUGCUCAAUGGUCUCAAUGACAGGCUUUCUCUCACCAAGGCUGAUCUGACUACAGCCACUGAGGACCUCAUGGAACAGACCAAUACAGAGUCCUGGAUAUGGCACCAUUUCCCAGGGGGAACAGUUAGCCAUUUGACUGAUAACACUGUACCCCUUCCAUCAUGGAAGUGGCAGAAAUUUGCCCUUAUUGCAAUAAAUUAUUGCCUUACAUAUGGAUUUGCCUUUCCUGCCUGCAGUGCUUCUGCCAAAAUCCCAUUUAGAUUUAUAGAAUAUGCCUCAUUCCUGUCAUAGUGCCUCACAUGGCCUCACUUCUGACUAAAAGAGUAAUUUUGUAGGCAUAAUCAUGAGGCACAGGACAAUGCCCAGAGAAUUCACUGGCUUAUAUACGUCAUCAUUCCAAAACUGCUUGCCUGUGAGGA